GGAGUCAAAAGUUGUUUUUAACGAUUUUAUGCUUGUUUUGCAUUGUUUUGUAGCUAAUUUGAGAAAAGUAAAGAAUGGAGUUAAAGAUACAGGUCGUUGAGUCAAGAAAAGAGCAGAAAAAUGAAGAUUUGAAGAGUCAACGCACCGCCGGGCGGCACACUUAAACCGUUAGGCGGUCCAGGCGAGGAAUAGGCACCUGGCGUUGGCACUGGGCGGAUUUGCGAUUUGAUGGAAAUCGUCGGGCGGUAGACCCCUACCGCCGGGCAGUAGCCCGAUUUGUGGCAAACCGCCGGGCGGCACACUUAAACCGCCCAACGGUGGCUCGCUGGACUUGGGCCCAUUUUCUGAUGCGCACCUCACCUAUAUAUACCCC
This 373-nucleotide long non-coding RNA is filed under the name Vigna radiata. RNAcentral's name for it is "long non-coding RNA (VRAD_LNC014516)". Lineage: Eukaryota; Viridiplantae; Streptophyta; Magnoliopsida; Fabales; Fabaceae. The record is from RNAcentral.